CGCCCGGCUGCCUGCGGGCGGCAAGUGCCCGCCGCGCUCCCCGGGCUCCCACUGGCAGCGGAAAGCGGCGGGAGGCCGCCGGUCCCGCGUUGUGCAGGCACGGCCACGGGCGGCACUGAAGGCGCGGAGGGGAGAAGCGGCUGAAGCACCGAAGUUGCAGGCGGCGGGCUGCACAGACGUGCCGCUCAGCCUGGAAGUGAAAGCGGCACGGCACCGGGAUUCGGCUGUCGCUCCCGCGGGGGCAGCGCUGCCCGGCGGCCGCUGACAACGCCCUGGAGGGACCCCGCCGCCGCUUCCCUCGGGGAAAGAUGAGACCAGCGCGUCUCGAUCCCCCCCACCGCUGGGGCAGCUCCUGCCUUUUCCAAAGCAGAGACGGCAUCAGCCGGCGCACCCUCGGAAGGCACAACGAGGGAAACCAGGCUCAGGCAUGCCAGGAGAUGACUGGGCCAUGCAAAAGGCCGAACUCAGAAGGUGGACAGCAAGAAAGGGCUUGAAGGAAGGAUUUAGAAACUGUCUGGGCAGCUCAUGGGGCCUGAAGAACAACUGGUCUUUAAUACUAAGACUGAAGCAAAGGAGUAAUGAAGCACACCAGCCUGUUCCUCAGCUUGUCACUAUGUUUCCCAUGCAGCCAAUAAAGGACAGUGAUUAUCCUUA
Molecule: long non-coding RNA, 654 nt
Organism: Haemorhous mexicanus (house finch)
Lineage: Eukaryota; Metazoa; Chordata; Aves; Passeriformes; Fringillidae
Exons: 3
Source: RefSeq, a predicted model, not a curated record